GGUGAACGCUGGCGGUAGGCCUAACACAUGCAAGUCGAACGGCAGCACAGAGGAGCUUGCUCCUUGGGUGGCGAGUGGCGGACGGGUGAGGAAUACAUCGGAAUCUACUCUGUCGUGGGGGAUAACGUAGGGAAACUUACGCUAAUACCGCAUACGACCUACGGGUGAAAGCAGGGGACCUUCGGGCCUUGCGCGAUUGAAUGAGCCGAUGUCGGAGUAGCUAGUUGGCGGGGUAAAGGCCCACCAAGGCGACGAUCCGUAGCUGGUCUGGGAGGAUGAUCAGCCACACUGGAACGGAGACACGGUCCAGACUCCUACGGGAGGCAGCAGUGGGGAAUAUUGGACAAUGGGCGCAAGCCUGAUCCAGCCAUACCGCGUGGGUGAAGAAGGCCUUCGGGUUGUAAAGCCCUUUUGUUGGGAAAGAAAUCCAGCUGGCUAAUACCCGGUUGGGAUGACGGUACCCAAAGAAUAAGCACCGGCUAACUUCGUGCCAGCCGCCGCCGUAA
Molecule: ribosomal RNA, 506 nt
Filed under: uncultured bacterium
Lineage: Bacteria
Description: partial 16S ribosomal RNA
Rfam family: Bacterial small subunit ribosomal RNA
Source: RNAcentral